AAGUAGUAUAGAUAAAUUAAACUAAUUUAUUUUGGCGGCAUUUAUCUAGUUAGAGGAACUUGUCUUUUAAUCGAUAUUACACGAUAUCUUUCACUUAAUUUAAAAGUUUAUAUACCUCCAUCUCAAGAACCAAUUUAUAAAUCUCAAUCUAAAUAAUAAUAAAAAGUUAGGUCAAGGUGUAGCCUAAACUAAAGUUUAAAUGAGUUACUUUAAAUAUAAUUUAAGAAUUAAAGCUUUUAAACUUCUAUAAAAAAGAAUUUAUUAGUAAUAUAAAAAUAUUAAUUUUACCUGAACACAUUAAUAAAUGUGC
This 310-nucleotide ribosomal RNA is filed under the name Sinopoda sp. CG70. Its description in RNAcentral is "partial 12S ribosomal RNA". The record is from RNAcentral. Lineage: Eukaryota; Metazoa; Arthropoda; Arachnida; Araneae; Sparassidae.